This 446-nucleotide ribosomal RNA is filed under the name Mesomycoplasma bovoculi M165/69. RNAcentral describes it as "Mycoplasma bovoculi M165/69 partial 23S ribosomal RNA". It matches the Rfam family "Bacterial large subunit ribosomal RNA", at positions 1438 to 1893 of the family's 2925-position model. Lineage: Bacteria; Bacillati; Mycoplasmatota; Mycoplasmoidales; Metamycoplasmataceae. The record is from RNAcentral.
CCUAUACUUGGUAAAAAAAUGAUGGAGUGACGAAAAAAGAUAACCUUACUUCUUAUUGGAUUAGGAGGGUAAGCAGUUAGAAAGUUAAAUAGGCAAAUCCGUUUAACAUUAAUUUUGAGCUGUGAUGCAUAGUGAACAGGCAACUAAGUAACGAAUUAGGUGAUUCUAUGUUUCCAAGAAAAGCUUCUAGUGUUAAUUUUUUAUCAACCUGUACCGAGAACGGACACACGUCCCCAAGAUGAGUAUUCUAAGGCGAGCGAGAAAACCAAUGUUAAGGAACUCUGCAAAAUGACCCCGUAAGUUCGCAAGAAGGGGUACCCAUUUAUGGGUCACAGUAAAAUAGGGGGGGCAACUGUUUAUCAAAAACACAGCUCUCUGCUAAGUUGCAAAACGAUGUAUAGAGGGUGAAGCCUGCCCAGUGCCCGAAGGUUAAGCAAAGAUGUUAG